CCUACGGGUGGCAGCAGUGGGGAAUAUUGGGCAAUGGGCGCAAGCCUGACCCAGCAACGCCGCGUGCAGGAAGACGGCUCUCCGGUUGUUAACCUCCUUUAUGAGGGACGUAAGAAAUGCCGGUACCUCAUGAAUAAGCCACGGCUAACUACGUGCCAGCAGCCGCGGUAAUACGGAGGUGGCAAGCGUUCUCCGGAUUUACUGGGUGUAAAGGGCGUGUAGGCUGGACUGCAAGUCAGAUGUGAAAAUUAUGGGCUCAACCAAUACCCUGCAGUUGAAACUGUAGUACUUGAGUGAUGAUGAGGCAGGCGGAAUGUGUGGUGUAGCGGUGAAAUGCGUAGAUAU
RNAcentral lists this ribosomal RNA (345 nucleotides) under uncultured bacterium. RNAcentral's name for it is "partial 16S ribosomal RNA". It matches the Rfam family "Bacterial small subunit ribosomal RNA", at positions 338 to 697 of the family's 1533-position model. The record is from RNAcentral.